Molecule: ribosomal RNA, 380 nt
Filed under: Camellia piquetiana
Lineage: Eukaryota; Viridiplantae; Streptophyta; Magnoliopsida; Ericales; Theaceae
Description: partial large subunit ribosomal RNA
Rfam family: Eukaryotic large subunit ribosomal RNA
Source: RNAcentral
GAUUGUUCACCCACCAAUAGGGAACGUGAGCUGGGUUUAAACGGUCGUGAAACAUGUUAGUUUUACCCUACUGAUGACAGUGUCGUAAUAGUAAUUCAACCUAGUACGAGAGGAACCGUUGAUUCGCACAAUUGGUCAUCAUGCUUGGUUGAAAAGCCAGUGGUGCGAAGCUACCGUGUGCUGGAUUUUGACUAAAUGCCUUUAUGUCAGAAUCUAGGCUAGUGUGGUUGGUGAAGCCCACGCUACGGACGAGCCGCACGGGCCGCCUUGAAGUACAAUUCCUAUCUCGAGCGGCGGGUAGAAUCCUUUGCAAACGACUUAAAUAUGCGACGAGGUGUUGUAAUUGGCAGAGUGGUCUUGCUGCCAUGAUCUACUGAGAU